RNAcentral lists this ribosomal RNA (253 nucleotides) under uncultured bacterium. RNAcentral's name for it is "partial 16S ribosomal RNA". It matches the Rfam family "Bacterial small subunit ribosomal RNA", at positions 524 to 776 of the family's 1533-position model. The record is from RNAcentral.
UACGAAGGGUGCAAACGUUGCUCGGAAUCAUUGGGCGUAAAGCGCACGUAGGCGGCCUCAUAAGUCGGAUGUGAAAUCCCUCGGCUCAACCGAGGACGUGCAUCCGAAACUGUGAAGCUCGAGUAUGGAAGCGGGUCGCGGAAUUCCCGGUGUAGAGGUGAAAUUCGUAGAUAUCGGGAGGAACACCAGUGGCGAAGGCGGCGACCUGGGCCAAUACUGACGCUGAGGUGCGAAAGCGUGGGGAGCAAACAGG